CACGAAGGGGGCUAGCGUUGCUCGGAAUCACUGGGCGUAAAGCGCACGUAGGCGGACUCUUAAGUCGGUGGUGAAAUCCUGGAGCUCAACUCCAGAACUGCCUUCGAUACUGAGAGUCUCGAGUCCGGGAGAGGUGAGUGGAACUGCGAGUGUAGAGGUGAAAUUCGUAGAUAUUCGCAAGAACACCAGUGGCGAAGGCGGCUCACUGGCCCGGUACUGACGCUGAGGUGCGAAAGCGUGGGGAGCAAACAGG
Molecule: ribosomal RNA, 253 nt
Filed under: uncultured bacterium
Lineage: Bacteria
Description: partial 16S ribosomal RNA
Rfam family: Bacterial small subunit ribosomal RNA
Source: RNAcentral